GAGUUUGAUCCUGGCUCAGAACGAACGCUGGCGGCGUGUUUAAGACAUGCAAGUCGCACGGAAUGAACCGAGUAGUAAUACCUGGUGAUUUUAGUGGCGCACGGGUGAGUAACACGUGAAUUACAUGCCCUUCACUGGGGAAUAGCCCAGGGAAACUUGGAUUAAUGCCCCAUAGUCUCGCAAGAGUAAAGGUGGCGCGUUAAGCGUGCCGCCUGGGAAGUACGGUCGCAAGACUAAAACUCAAAGAAAUUGACGGGGACCCGCACAAGCGGUGGAGUAUGUGGCUUAAUUAGAUGCAACGCGAAGAACCUUACUUAGGCUUGACAUGCAUCUGUAAGCACGCGAAAGCGUGUGACCCUUCGGGGGAUUUGCACAGGUGUUGCAUGGCCGUCGUCAGCUCGUGUCGUGAGAUGUUGGGUUAAGUCCCGCAACGAGCGCAACCCUUGUGAUUAGUUGCCAGCACGUAAUGGUGGGAACUUUAGUCAGACUGCCCAGAUCAACUGGGAGGAAGGUGGGGAUGACGUCAGGUCAGUAUGGCCCUUACGCCUAGGGCUGCACACGUACUACAAUGCUCAGUACAAUUAGAACCGAUACCGUGAGGUGGAGGAAAUCUGUAAAACUGGG
This 624-nucleotide ribosomal RNA is filed under the name uncultured organism. Its description in RNAcentral is "bacterial SSU rRNA". It matches the Rfam family "Bacterial small subunit ribosomal RNA", at positions 9 to 1286 of the family's 1533-position model. The record is from RNAcentral.